Molecule: long non-coding RNA, 3068 nt
Organism: Dreissena polymorpha
Lineage: Eukaryota; Metazoa; Mollusca; Bivalvia; Myida; Dreissenidae
Exons: 4
Source: RefSeq, a predicted model, not a curated record
UACUUGCUGACAGCGACGAAGACGAAUCAAGAAGAGGAACAUUGUUGAGAAAGUGAUUGGGACUUGCAAACAGGGUAAGUGUAACACUUGUGUUUGUUUAAUUUGUAACAUGCGUGCUUUGCUCUGUUUCAGAUUUCACAUGCAGAAAUUAAACAGGAUUUCAACUGCUGAGACACAAUUCAUCAAAAGUAAGGUAAGUUUUAAUUCAUUGAUUUGAGUUGUACAAUGUGUUCUUUACUUUAUUUCAGAUUCGAGUCACUGGUUUACACAUGGAAGAAGAUUUCCACGUCUGUUACUCAACUCUACAGAAGCAAGGGAGCUGUGGUAAGUAUUGUAGUAUUAAUUUGUCUCAAUAAACGAUGAUGAAUGAAAACUGAUGUCGAUUCUUUUUGUACAGUUUUAGGUAUUAGCACUCUAUACAAAACUCUGUCGGUCGGUGUUUGUGAAUGUGAGCUUAAUGUUUGAGUAGAACAAAAAUGUCUUUACUUUUGUGAUCGCCAGUUGUCUGUGAUGUAAAGUGGAAAAAACACAGCUAUGAAGCAUACAAUUGUUUCAAUAUUUUAUCAAUGAUAGUGUGCUAUGCAUGUUUUGAUUUAGUUCGUUUCAGAUAUGACAUGACAUGAAGAGUUGACAGUCGAACAGAGCUGAGCAAUGCAGAAAGGUAAGUGUGUUUCAUUUUAGUAUGAACACUUGUAUUUUGUUUUUAUAUGGUAUGUUUUGUGCAUGCUAUGUUUCAGGUGUACUUGUAGUCAGCGACGAAGACGAUUCAAGAAGAGGAACAUUGCUGAGAAAGUGAAUGGGACAUGCAAACAGGGUAAGUGUUACAAUUGUUGGUUUGAUUUUUACCAUGCAUACUUUUUCAUAUUUCACAUGCAGAAAUGGUCUCAUAGCAGUGCCAACAGUGAAUAAGGAUUUCAGCUGCUGUGAAACAACUCAACAGAAAGUAGGUAAGCAUUGAAUGAAUGCACUUGAGUUGUACAAUUUGAUGUGAUGCUUUUUUUCUGUUUCAGAUUCAAGUUUCUGGUGUAGACAGAAAAUGUGUUUGAAGAAGGAAUUCUACUACUGUGAUUCAACUCUACAGAAGCAAGGUAAGUAGAAACAAAAUUUUGGUUUAAUUUAACUCAUGUGUUUUGCACUGCAUGCUAUUUUUCAGGUCUCUCAUGCAGUGAGGGAAAAGAAGAAGAUUUCAAGAAAAAAUCACUGCUGCAACUCAGGCCGAUAACAAGGUAAGCGUUUACUAUAUUGUAUACAAAAUGUUUUUCUGUUUUACUCUGUUUCAGGUUUCAAUUGCAGAGAUGUUGCAGAGAUGUUUUGACAGCUUGUGACAGAAAAGAAAUUCAGCAGCUGUGUCUCGACUCUAGCCACGAGGUAAGUCAAAACAAAUAUACUGGUUUGUAUGUAAUGUUGUUAUGCCCUUCUAUGUUUCAGACUUACAUUGCUGUGACUGUUCCACAGUGGGUCAAAAAAGAGACGAAUACAGGUUUCAAGAAGAAAAUUGGCUGUUGAAAACCUGCACAAAAUAUGAGGUAAGUAAACUAUUCUUUUGGUUUGUUUUGUGCUUUGUUAUGCUUAACUAUUUUUCAGAUUGGAAUGGUGGGUCGUUACAGAGCAGACUUUUGGACAACUGAGAAGUUGAGAAACAGAUAAUGAUUCAAUAUCAGCUAGGUAAGUCUUGAUUAUUCUGCAUUGUAAAAUGUGUUUCUUUUUCAUUUCAGUAUGGCUGUGGUAAGUACACUAACUUUCUAUAAUUUCAUAUUGAACUGUUUUGAUGACUUGUAUUAUGCAUUGCUAAAUGUUUUUUUCAUUUCAGUAUCCUGUGGUAAGUACACUAACUUUCUUUAAUUUUCAUAUUGAACUGUUUUGAUGACUUGUAUUCUGCUAUACAAAAUGUGCUUUUUUCAAUUUCAGGUCAGCAAUGGUAAGUAUAUUGUGUUUCUUUAUGUAUAAUUUUGUAUACAUAUUGUUUUUUUCAUCAUAGCAUGUUUUUUAUAUUUAUGCUUUGUGUAAGUAAAAUGUUCAUAAAUCAUUCUUAUCUUUAAACUAAAAAUGUAUUUUGAUAUGCAAAAUGUCUGUAUGAUUUCAGUUGCCAGAGGUGAGUACCAUUACAGUUGAAAAGUUAGUUUUGUUUAGUUAAAGUUUUGGUUCACAGUUCUGUUUAUUAUUUGGCAAAAUUUACAUGUAUGCAUUGAGUCUUGAUUUCAGCUCGAUUGUGGACUGAAGAAGAUUGCCAGCAGAGGGAUUGGAUACAAAAUACAAAGUAAGUACUGAGUUUCUUACUAAAAGUUUUGAGUUGUAUUCAUUGUGUGUUAAUAUGCUAUGAUUGCUAUGAACAUGACUUUUGUAUUUCAGCGAAGACAACAUAGGUAAGUAAAAUUGUUAUCUGUUUCAAGUUUACUGUUAUAGUUCAAUAUUGUGUUUAUAAAUUGUAAGUUGUACAAACACAUUCAAAAGUUUCUGAUCAUGCUUUCAAUUUCAUUUCAGCCCUACUACAAGACGAGUGUUUUCUACUACUAGACGUGUCAGGUUUACUUCCAGGCGAGCAGUGACAACAAGGCGCCUUUGUGGAAACAGCAAAACAAACAACUCUACUGCAAGACGAGCAGUAACAGCAAGGCGCCUGAACAUGCAACACAAUACAAAAAAUGCCAAUAUCCAAACCUUGAUGUGGACACCGAGUAGUCAAUACAUACGUGUGGCGUAUAGCUGCGACAAAACCGUGGGUCCAUCGCACCGAUAACUUGAACAUUGGCCCGUGUAUGGACAUCAGUGCAACUUUGUGAAUCCAUGUAUCUUUGUGAAUCCAUGUAACAUUGCGAAUGUGUGUCGAUCGAAAAAUGUGUACAUUCUGAACUGAAACGAACUCGGUGUUGCAAGUGGCAAGUGUUGACAGUGUGUAUGUUUAUGUUUAUGUUUUUACAUGAAAACUAAAGGAGAUUGUUCUCCUACCUUUUUUUUCCUUGUUUUAUUGCGCUGGCCAGCAAUAUUGAUGUAUUGAUGUAUGUGUUUGUGUUUAAACUAUGCAAUACCAAAAUCAAACAAAAAAUAAACAUUAACAGUCAUUAACUGUG